UUUGCCUGUCAAUGACGCGAAUUGUUUCCCGUUCCCAAAGCGAAAGAGAACGGGAGUCGCAAGGAAGACGGGAAAAAAAGGAGAGAGAUAAGGACUGAGGGAUGCACACCCCGAUACCCAACUCUGGCCAGCUUCACCCAGCUUCUUCUUCUUCCUCCAACAACCCGGUCCCCGCAUCCCUUUGCGUCGUAACAAGAUAACCACGACCCGGCUCAAGGGAAAAAUUGAAAAAUUUGAAACGCGAAAGAAAGCAAAGCAACAAACAAAAUUUCUCAUUUAUGCAAGGGCCAGCCGUAGGACGAGCUGCUAUUCAUUCCUUUUGCUGCGGAGCGUGUGGGUGGGAUGGUGGUGGAUAUCUAGAUACUAUAUACACCACCAUCGUUUGAAAAUCUGCGUCGCGUCUCUCUCUCUCUGUGUGUGUGUGGUUCUUACGCGUGCGGUAGGGCGUCCUAUUUUUUUUCCCCUCCUUCUCUCGCGAUUUAGUGCUACUCGCGCACAUUUGAUUGAUUGCGACGGGAUAAGGGAGUACCGGGUGCCGGAGCUGGAUUUAAGGGGACAAAAAAGGGGGAAGAGGGGGAAGAGGAAGCAAAAGGACAAAGAUUGAAUGAGAGUCCGAGUCAAUUUCAUCGACUUUCUUUCUCUCUCUCUCUAUUUUAAAUAUACAGAUUUUCAAGCUCGUUGUUAUUUUAUUGUAACCAUGCCACCGCCGACCUCUUCUGCCUCUUCAACCCCCCACUCCCAUCAUCACCGCUCGCGCCGCAUCGAAGACGCGCUAAGCCAACUCGUCGACUCCCUCAUCCCCACCACCAUCCCCCGCCGCAAUGAAGACGAUGAAACCCUUUCCGAAACAUCGACGGACGAAUAUGCGCGUCUCGAAGCGGCCGAGGCCGACGAGCGACGGCACAGACGCUGUUUGGAAAUGGCAUGGCGGGUUCUGGAUUCCCAUACAGCAGCCGCGGCUGCGGCCAGUUCUACAGGGAUAGGUGGGGGCGGUGUCGUUUCAGCGGACGUUAUCAACAAUGCGCCAGACCUGAUCAAGCGCAAAUUGCUGAGAGAAAAUGCGUCGCCGGACAAAGCGGUGCGGUUCUCGAAUUUGUAUUCGAGGCUGUUGACGCAGCCGGUGCUGGGG
This 1129-nucleotide small RNA is filed under the name Histoplasma capsulatum var. duboisii H88. RNAcentral's name for it is "Histoplasma capsulatum H88 hypothetical RNA". Lineage: Eukaryota; Fungi; Ascomycota; Eurotiomycetes; Onygenales; Ajellomycetaceae. The record is from RNAcentral.